This 364-nucleotide unclassified non-coding RNA is filed under the name uncultured bacterium. RNAcentral describes it as "contains 16S-23S intergenic spacer region". The record is from RNAcentral.
UCCCGGUUGGCCCGGGCAGUCUCGCAUGAAAAAUACAACAUACGAUAAGGGUUGCGCUCGUUGCGGGACUUAACCCAACAUCUCACGACACGAGCUGACGACGGCCAUGCAGCACCUGUCAUUAGGCUCCAAAAGGCACCUCUCCGUUUCCGGAAAGUUCCUAAGAUGUCAAGCCUCGGUAAGGUUCUACGCGUAGCGUCAUAUUAAACCACAUCCUCCUCUGCUUGUGCGGGUCCCCGUCAAUUCCUUUGAGUUUUAGCCUUGCGGCCGUACUUCCCAGGCGGCAUACUUAUCGCGUUAGCUUCGUCUCACAGGGGGUCGAUACCCCAUAAGACUAGUAUGCAUCGUUUACGGCGUGGACUAC